AUGGGGGACUAUGAACCCUACUCCCCGCCUCACCGUCGUGCUGUUUUUGGUCGCAAUGAUCAUCAUUACGACCGUCGUGAUCAGGAUGACCAUGACAACCAAGCGAGAGUGAAGCUACAUGUGCCAUCAUUCACGGGAAAAGAGGACCCGAAUGCAUAUAUUGAGUGGGAAGAGAAGUGUGAUCAAAUCUUUCGCAUCCAUGGUUUUUCUCAAGCCAAGAGAGUUGAUCUUGCUGUUAUGGAGUUCUCUGGUUAUGCUCUUACAUGGUGGAAUCAGCUGCAAGACGAUCGGUUGAUGUCAGGCAAUAAUCAUAUCUGCAGCUGGACUUUGAUGAAGGAAGUCAUGAGGCGCCGUUUUGUUCCAUCAUACUAUGAGAGGCAAGUGUACAAGCGGUUGCAGGGGCUCACUCAAGGUUCUCGCACUAUUGAGGAGUACUAUAAAGAGAUGGAGGUGCUGCUAAUUCAGACAAGAACCCGUGAAUGUCUAUGA
RNAcentral lists this ribosomal RNA (489 nucleotides) under Triticum aestivum (bread wheat). Its description in RNAcentral is "partial small subunit ribosomal RNA". The record is from RNAcentral. Lineage: Eukaryota; Viridiplantae; Streptophyta; Magnoliopsida; Poales; Poaceae.